Molecule: ribosomal RNA, 443 nt
Filed under: Vibrio crassostreae
Lineage: Bacteria; Pseudomonadati; Pseudomonadota; Gammaproteobacteria; Vibrionales; Vibrionaceae
Description: bacterial LSU rRNA
Rfam family: Bacterial large subunit ribosomal RNA
Source: RNAcentral
AUGGUUAAGUGACUAAGCGUACACGGUGGAUGCCUUGGCAGUCAGAGGCGAUGAAAGGCGUAAUAACUUGCGAUAAGCCCAGAUUAGGUAGUAAUAACCUUUUGAGUCUGGGAUUCCUGAAUGGGGAAACCCACUUACAUAAGUAAGUAUCCUGUUGUGAAUACAUAGCAACAGGAGGCAAACCGGGGGAACUGAAACAUCUAAGUACCCCGAGGAAGAGAAAUCAACCGAGAUUCCGAAAGUAGCGGCGAGCGAAAUUGGAUUAGCCCUUAAGCUUUUAAUGAGACAGAUGAAGGCUCUGGAAAGUGCCGCAAUAAAGGGUGAUAGCCCCGUAAUCGACAUCUCAUCAUCAGUGAAAACGAGUAGGGCGGGACACGUGAUAUCCUGUCUGAAUAUGGGGGGACCAUCCUCCAAGGCUAAAUACUACUGACUGACCGAUAGUG